This 343-nucleotide unclassified non-coding RNA is filed under the name soil metagenome. RNAcentral's name for it is "partial contains 5.8S ribosomal RNA, internal transcribed spacer 2, and large subunit ribosomal RNA". The stretch from base 1 to 120 matches the Rfam family "5.8S ribosomal RNA", at positions 35 to 154 of the family's 154-position model. The record is from RNAcentral.
GAUGAAGAACGUAGCGAAAUGCGAUACGUAAUGUGAAUUGCAGAAUUCAGUGAAUCAUCGAGUCUUUGAACGCACAUUGCGCCCCCUGGUAUUCCGGGGGGCAUGCCUGUCCGAGCGUCAUUGCUGCCCUCAAGCACGGCUUGUGUGUUGGGCCUCCGUCCUCCUCCCGGGGGACGGGCCCGAAAGGCAGCGGCGGCACCGCGUCCGGUCCUCGAGCGUAUGGGGCUUCGUCACCCGCUCUUGUAGGCCCGGCCGGCGCUUGCCGACACAUCAAUCUUUUUUCCAGGUUGACCUCGGAUCAGGUAGGGAUACCCGCUGAACUUAAGCAUAUCAAUAAGCGAGA